CGCUGGCGGCGUGCCUAAUACAUGCAAGUCGAACGGUCUUUCUAUGGAAGCUUGCUUCCACUGAGAAGAUAGUGGCGAACGGGUGAGUAACACGUGGGUAACCUGCCCAUAAGAGGGGGAUAACAUCCGGAAACGGGUGCUAAUACCGCAUAGUUUUCUUGAUCGCAUGAUUGAGAAAGGAAAGACGGCCUUUGUGCUGUCGCUUAUGGAUGGACCCGCGGCGUAUUAGUUAGUUGGUGAGGUAAUGGCUCACCAAGACGAUGAUACGUAGCCGACCUGAGAGGGUGAUCGGCCACAUUGGGACUGAGACACGGCCCAAACUCCUACGGGAGGCAGCAGUAGGGAAUCUUCCGCAAUGGACGAAAGUCUGACGGAGCAACGCCGCGUGAGUGAAGAAGGUUUUCGGAAUCGUAAAACUCUGUUGUCAGAGAAGAACAAGUUGGAGAGUAACUGCUCCAGCCUUGACGGUAUCUGACCAGAAAGCCACGGCUAACUACGUGCCAGCAGCUGC
RNAcentral lists this ribosomal RNA (511 nucleotides) under uncultured bacterium. RNAcentral's name for it is "bacterial SSU rRNA". It matches the Rfam family "Bacterial small subunit ribosomal RNA", at positions 34 to 518 of the family's 1533-position model. The record is from RNAcentral.